CAUGUCGCUCUUUCGGGCUGAGCCCGGCCACCAGGCGCUCGCAUGCGAGCCCCAACCCCGGGCCUGGCUCCAGUGCGGGGCCCCCGGUUGCGCCUUACCGGGCGACGUCACAGACCUUGGUUUGACUUUACUCAUAAGAGUUUUUUGAAGGGUUUUUUUCUAAUUAACCAUUGUGUUCAUUUCACGUUAAUGUUUAAUUCCCAUUCAACCAUUUCAGUGGGAAAUCCAACAUGGAAGGAAAUAUCUUUAACAUGUUUCCACUUUACAUGCCUGGUCUGUUUAGCUGGGAGCAAAACAUAAAGAUUACUCAGUGAAUAUACACCGGUUAUAAAAGGAAGAGUUACUCUCAGGCCAUGUGUUUCUCUGGGAAUGUAGGCUGUGACUUCUAGAAAGCAAAGUGUAGGAGAAGAGGUACUUUCUUUCCCCUGUCAAUCCCAGAGACACCAGUCGGACAUCUUUGAGAGCAAGUAUAUGGACGAGGGUAGACAGCACUUUGUUCCAUGUGUGUUAACCUGGCCUGUGACUCGGAAAGAAUAUCAAUUUUUUUUAAAAAUUCUCUGAGGAAAAACAUUUUAGCCUUCACACUCCAAAUCAUGUUUUGACUUGAUUUACACUCCAAGGUAAGAUUUAACUGUUCUAUUGACUUCCAUGGAAAGGAGCACGAUCUAUAGGACAUCUCCGUAUGAUUGUUUUACCACUUGAAACGGUGUUUUGUUCUGCGUGGCUCAUGUUACAAAUCUACGAUUCCUGUGAGUUCUCUCUGGAGCCAUUCAUAUUUAUUAGUACUAUACAAUCAUGAGACAUGAUUAAAAUUAAUUUUUCAGAAAUAAUGAAAAGUAACAAAAUCUAUUGCAAAAUCCUAAGAAAACGUGAUUUGUUGUUGUGAAUUUCUACCAAUUAUGUCUAACAUUGUGUUUUUUAUAUGAAUCAGGGAUGAAUUUCAAAGAAAGUCAUUUUAAAGAUGAAAGCAGACAAGAACCUGAGAUCGCUCAGGAGAUGGAGGUGAUGAACCCUAAUCCUGAAUGACCUGAGCUCCCAGAAAUAUUCUUGCUCAUGUUUUGUAAGAAUAUAACGUAUCAUAAGUCCUAUUCGGGCAGGACUAGUUUUACAGGGGGUCGUUAGAGAAAUUUUAGUUUCACAGACAUACUUGUGAUUUUAAUCCCGUCCGAAUCUGCCAUGUCUGUCUUUUUCUCACACGACCUGUGUAAAAAUUCCAGAGCAAAUUACCUACUGUUUUUCAGCAAAAUUGGCGCUCCUCUGAGAAAUCUAAUCCCGUCUGAAUGCGAAUGUCUGUGAUUGCCGAAAAUGUUUUUUCCAAAACGCGUUUUCUUGUCUGUUUUUUCUUGACCUACCGUAUUAACCGUAGCGCACCGGUAUUCAGGUUUCUGCAUUCUGCACACCAGCAAUGGAUGUAAAUGUGUUUGCUACCCUGAGAAGAAAUAAAAAAAUUAAAUUACAUAACGUGAAAAUUAUAUAAAUACGUAUUUAUUUCAAUGGGUUUAUAAGAAGUUCUAUAUAAAACCAUAUGAUGUUAACAUUUUUUACAUUUGUUUUUUUAAUUUUUUUUUUCAUUUUUAAUAUUAUUACAACGUGUAUAACAUUUUUAAACACUUAACAAGUUAGGAUGUUUACAUUUUAAAGUGCUUCAAUGUAAAUUUACUUAAUUUCAAAAUACAUUUUAUCAUAUUUUAUCAAAUAUGACCAUACGCAAUCCAUGCAUCCUGGACAUGUGGUCUUGUGCAACACCCACAUAUAAAACACAGACACUCCUACCUCCGUAAUAAACACAGGGGUGUUAGUCCCAUCCGAAUCCAUACAUGAAAUGACAGACGGCGGCUGAAAAAAAAUUCUAACUCAAACGUCGUUUGGAAAACUAGUCCCGUCCGAAUGCUUUAUCACAUUCAUUUUAACCAAAUAAUAUAAUUUCUGGAAAUAUUUGUGCUACUUAUAAAACCUUUAUAGCCUCACAUUAUGCACAUGGUUCUAAGAGGUUUUAUUCUCUUGUUGGUAGAAGUGUGUUGAAUUUAUCAUUGUUGUUUACUCGAGUUAUUAAUAGAGAAAUACAGUGGAUAUUAAUACAGAUUGCCAUUCUACAGUAAUGUUUAUGUCCAAAAUAAAGCAAGUACUGACCAGUAUAUUUCUCAUCUCAUGAUUUUUCCAGUGAACAAUAAAUCUAGUCCUGCAGCAUACUGUACCUGCUCAUGUUGCUGCUACUUCCUGAAUAUGCUGCCAAAUGCAUUUUACUCUUAAUCAA
Molecule: long non-coding RNA, 2254 nt
Organism: Tachysurus fulvidraco (yellow catfish)
Lineage: Eukaryota; Metazoa; Chordata; Actinopteri; Siluriformes; Bagridae
Exons: 3
Source: RefSeq, a predicted model, not a curated record